AAUCAACGCUGGCGGCGUGCCUAACACAUGCAAGUCGAACGAGAAAGGAGACUUCGGUCUCCGAGUAGAGUGGCGAACGGGUGAGUAACGCGUGGGUAACCUGCCCUAAGGUGGGGGAUAACUCGGGGAAACCCGGGCUAAUACCGCAUAAGCCCUGUGCUUUCGGGUACAGGGGAAAGCUUUCGAGUACCUUUGGAGGGGCCCGCGUCCGAUUAGCUAGUAGGGGAGGUAAAGGCUUCCCUAGGCGACGAUCGGUAGCCGGUCUGAGAGGACGGACGGCCACACUGGGACUGAGACACGGCCCAGACUCCUACGGGAGGCAGCAGUGGGGGAUUUUGCGCAAUGGGGGCAACCCUGACGCAGCAACGCCGCGUGGAGGAAGAAGGCUUUCGAGUCGUAAACUCCUGUCCCUGGGGA
Molecule: ribosomal RNA, 417 nt
Filed under: uncultured bacterium
Lineage: Bacteria
Description: bacterial SSU rRNA
Rfam family: Bacterial small subunit ribosomal RNA
Source: RNAcentral